AGAGUUUGAUCCUGGCUCAGGACGAACGCUGGCGGCGUGCCUAAUACAUGCAAGUUGAACGAUGAUUUCUGGUACUUGUAUCAGAAUGAAGAGUAGCGAACGGGUGAGUAACGCGUGGGUAACCUACCUCUUAGCGGGGGACAACUAUUGGAAACGAUAGCUAAUACCGCAUAACAAUAUUAAACACAUGUUUAAUAUUUGAAAGUACCAAUUGGUACACUAGGAGAUGGACCCGCGUUGUAUUAGCUAGUUGGUAGUGUAAUGGACUACCAAGGCGAUGAUACAUAGCCGACCUGAGAGGGUGAUCGGCCACAUUGGGACUGAGACACGGCCCAAACUCCUACGGGAGGCAGCAGUAGGGAAUCUUCGGCAAUGGACGAAAGUCUGACCGAGCAACGCCGCGUGAGUGAAGAAGGUUUUCGGAUCGUAAAACUCUGUUGUUAGAGAAGAACGUUGUGUAGAGUGGAAAAUUACACAAGUGACGGUAUCUAACCAGAAAGGGACGGCUAACUACGUGCCAGCAGCCGCGGUAAUACGUAGGUCCCGAGCGUUGUCCGGAUUUAUUGGGCGUAAAGCGAGCGCAGGUGGUUUAAUAAGUCUGAUGUAAAAGGCAGUGGCUCAACCAUUGUGUGCAUUGGAAACUGUUAGACUUGAGUGCAGUAGAGGAGAGUGGAAUUCCAUGUGUAGCGGUGAAAUGCGUAGAUAUAUGGAGGAACACCGGUGGCGAAAGCGGCUCUCUGGAC
This 743-nucleotide ribosomal RNA is filed under the name uncultured Lactococcus sp. RNAcentral's name for it is "bacterial SSU rRNA". It matches the Rfam family "Bacterial small subunit ribosomal RNA", at positions 8 to 734 of the family's 1533-position model. The record is from RNAcentral. Lineage: Bacteria; Bacillati; Bacillota; Bacilli; Lactobacillales; Streptococcaceae.